GCUAAACGCGAAGAACCUUACCAGGGUUUGACAUCCCUUGAAUUAUGCCGAAAGGCGUGAGUGCUUUAUUGAACAAGGUGACAGGUGAUGCAUGGCCGUCGUCAGCUCGUGUCGUGAGAUGUUUGGUUAAGUCCAUCAACGAGCGCAACCCUUGUCUUCAGUUGGAUUUUUCUGAAGAGACUGCCCCGGCAACGGGGAGGAAGGAGGGGAUGAUGUCAGGUCAGUAUUUCCCUUACAUCCUGGGCUAGAAACGCAAUACAAUGGCGAGUACAAUGCGCAGCGAAGCGGCAACGUGAAGCAAAUCGCAUCAAAACUCGUCCCAGUUCGGAUUAGAGGCUGAAACUCGCCUCUAUGAAGUCGGAAUCGCUAGUAAUCGCAAAUCAGCAAGUUGCGGUGAAUACGUUCCCGGGUCUUGUACACACCG
This 424-nucleotide ribosomal RNA is filed under the name uncultured bacterium. RNAcentral describes it as "bacterial SSU rRNA". It matches the Rfam family "Bacterial small subunit ribosomal RNA", at positions 954 to 1392 of the family's 1533-position model. The record is from RNAcentral.